ACAAGGUUGCAAAAUAUUUAAGAGUAAAAUGAGUUCAAUUUACUGUUAAAAUCCAAAGUGACUCGGUAAAAAUCCUAGGAUUUUUCAAAAUAAACUGCACACUGCUAGAAAACAAAGAAAUAGUCGUGUCAACGUCAAAUACGUUAGUAAAGUAAUACAAAUAAGACAGGAAAUACUAAAAAUUGACGACAAGGGGGCAGAC
RNAcentral lists this long non-coding RNA (202 nucleotides) under Mytilus galloprovincialis (Mediterranean mussel). The record is from RNAcentral. Lineage: Eukaryota; Metazoa; Mollusca; Bivalvia; Mytilida; Mytilidae.